UGGGGAAUAUUGCACAAUGGGCGCAAGCCUGAUGCAGCCAUGCCGCGUGUGUGAAGAAGGCCUUCGGGUUGUAAAGCACUUUCAGCGAGGAGGAAGGGUUCAGUGUUAAUAGCACUGUUCAUUGACGUUACUCGCAGAAGAAGCACCGGCUAACUCCGUGCCAGCAGCCGCGGUAAUACGGAGGGUGCAAGCGUUAAUCGGAAUUACUGGGCGUAAAGCGCACGCAGGCGGUUUGUUAAGUCAGAUGUGAAAUCCCCGCGCUUAACGUGGGAACUGCAUUUGAAACUGGCAAGCUAGAGUCUUGUAGAGGGGGGUAGAAUUCCAGGUGUAGCGGUGAAAUGCGUAGAGAUCUGGAGGAAUACCGGUGGCGAAGGCGGCCCCCUGGACAA
This 389-nucleotide ribosomal RNA is filed under the name uncultured bacterium. Its description in RNAcentral is "partial 16S ribosomal RNA". It matches the Rfam family "Bacterial small subunit ribosomal RNA", at positions 355 to 736 of the family's 1533-position model. The record is from RNAcentral.